This is a small nucleolar RNA of Prolemur simus (greater bamboo lemur), 143 nucleotides long. The record is from Ensembl. Lineage: Eukaryota; Metazoa; Chordata; Mammalia; Primates; Lemuridae.
UAAUUAAAAUCACUCAUCAUGAGGGCAAGGUUUUUAAACUGAUCUUUAUCAAUUCGGGCUAUUUAGGAGAAUAAAGAAAAGACCACACUCUACAAUGGGCUAUACCACUUAGUAUAGAUCACUACUGCUUUAUGACUUAUGUU